CAGGCGUGAGUAACUGCAGAAGGUCUAGAUGCCGCUGAACAGUUGAGGGCACUGGAAGGAACACACCAGAAAUGUUCAUCCAUGCGAGAAACGGCUGCGGAGGUGGGUGAUGGAUUGGCUUGCAGCAAUCCACACAGUAAUGGUCAUGCAGAUAUAUAGAGAUGUGGUAUGCUCACAGGAACCAUGCCAAGGAAGAAGCAGCAAAUGGACACAUUGGCCAGGCUCGCAGAAACGUGGCCUGCAACUAGGCCCUGUGCCCGCUGUGCCCAAGAUAUCUGGCAGGCCACUGAAAUCAGCCAUUCUUCCUUCACCAGAGUCAUAAUCCUGGGGGAUUUGUAAGCCGUUUCUUGGCUUUAUUUGGCGAUGAGAAGACGUCGGAAGUGAUAAUUGAGGGAAGUCUUUUAUCGCCCAAAACUGGCACUGCAAAGGUGUUGUGAUGUCACUCAGAAAUUGCUGCGAUGAGUACAUCACUCACAUUCAUACCGUGCGUGCGAUGUUAACUGAAGAAAUCAACACCCUGCGGUUGGUUGGCGCCGAACCGGGCGGGAUCAUCUCGGCCGUCCAAUCUUCAUCUAACGGCAACUUACCGCUUCGCCCGGAGUUACAAGAAGACUGGAGCUGUUGAAUUUACCUGCUUUACUUUAGCGAUAAAAAAAUAAAGUUACCUUUGGUUGGCUGUAAUGGGUAUAAAACCCCGGAUCUACCUGAGAGCCCUGGACGCCGUUGCGUGCCGGAUGUGCCUUGUUCGUGGCUGGAGAACGCCAGCCCUGGGGCCCAUGCCCACUGUGCUAAUCCAUACACACCUGCUUCUGGGCCAUAGUUAAAUUUGUUGUUUGUUGAGCAUUGUAAUGU
Long non-coding RNA from Triticum aestivum (bread wheat), 852 nucleotides. RefSeq lists it as uncharacterized. The record is from RefSeq and is a predicted model, not a curated record. The transcript has 5 exons. NCBI's taxonomy places the organism in Eukaryota, Viridiplantae, Streptophyta, Magnoliopsida, Poales, Poaceae.